RNAcentral lists this long non-coding RNA (2342 nucleotides) under Pan troglodytes (chimpanzee). RNAcentral's name for it is "long non-coding RNA NONPTRT015134". Lineage: Eukaryota; Metazoa; Chordata; Mammalia; Primates; Hominidae. The record is from RNAcentral.
GAGAGAAGAUUGGGGUCCAUGUCGUCUUUGACCAGGUUUUUGGGUCCACUGCAAUGACUCAAAGCUGAAUGUAUGCAGUGUCGAGGAAGUGUGCAAAACCCAGGCCUACAUCCUUUUUUACACUCAAAGAACAGUGCAGGGCAAUGCAAGAAUCUCAGAAACCCAUCUCCAAGCUCAGGUGCAGUCCAGCAACAAUGAUGAAGGCAGACCACAGACAUUUUCCUGAAUGGGAGGCAUGUAUCAAAGACUGGCUUUUGUGUAUUGGUGUCCAUACAUCUUUCCUCUUAUAGGAAAUAAGGCUACUGCAGGAACAGAUUACUAGGUUUGCCUUGCUGGGUCUAGAGUAGAAGGUGCCAGGUGAUUCGUGUCCUGUCAUAAAUUUUGUAGUCUCUUUCUUUUGAAUGAGUUUGGGAGUUCCCUCCUUUCCUAAAAACAAAAGAAGUAACUUCUAUGAAGAUCCUUUCAUCAGUUGCUUCUGAAUAUAGAGGGAUCUGGGUGGAGGAAAGCGGGGCGGGGGGGUAAAUCAAUCAUAUCCACACAGGAGAGCAGCCAUGUUUUCUCUCCAUGAUGUGAUUCCCCUGCUAAUCAGGACCUCCUUGCAGCACCAGAAGAACCCUCCGGAUGUGAGCAGCCCUGGACAGAGCACGUGAGGAGGGGCCCUGGGCUAGCAGUUUGCUGGAUGGGAUUGGCUCCAAGAUGGGAGAUGAAGUCUAAAGGGUUUAUUCCCACAAAGGAAGUAACCUUCAAGGGUUUAAAACAAACUUCCUUUUUUGGGGAUAGCAGCUGAAGAGUGGAGUGAGAUGCAUGGAACAAAUUUCCCCAUGCAAAGUGGGAUGGUUUUCAUAUGUCAUACCCUCCCUACUUGCUGCUGUCAUUUAAUCAUUCCAUACUUCUGAGACUGGCAUGAAUACCCCUUCAUUCUAAAGAAGGGGCAGGUCAUAUAAAGAAGCAAUAGACUAGCACAUGUUCCAUGCUGAGCCAAAGGACACUCCUGGCUAUCCCAGUUCUGUAGCAGAUCCCUGGUUCAGGUCUAGGGCAAGCACAUGGUUUGGUUUAAAUUGAUUCUUAGGUUUUCUCAGAACUCCGUUGAGGGUGGGCAGAGAUAGCUGAUGCUCCAGGGCUUAUUGAAUGCCUGUCACCCGUUCUCACUUCAGUGCAGCAUGCAGCUUCUUAGCCUGCAGCUUCUUUCUUGCUCCUGGAGAGCUAGAACAUUCAUGUUCACAGGGUUUGGGAGCUUUUGGUUCUCUAGGGUAUGUUAACUGCUUAGGAGUCCACCUCGUACAUAUCUGAAGAGUUGAUUACCAAUGGCCUUGACCUGUUUCCUCCCAAAUCUGAUAAUCCCUACUGUUGCUUUACCCCCCAUACUCAGUCCAUCAGAGAAAAAAACAAGAGUGCCCCGUCCUUUCCCCCAGUGCUAGUAAAAUACAUCUUCCUUUUUAAAUUGGGUCAGUUUCUAAACAGAAUGAAAUUGCCCAGAUAAAAACCCUUGUCCCCAUCAGGCACCACUUCAUUCUUAGUUCUUCACUUAGAUUUGCUGGUGAAAGUGAAUGCAAACCCUAACUUUUGUUGCUGUGGUCACUGCAGUGAGCCUCACUCAACCUGUCACUAUGAAUGCUCAUCUUUUGACUGAGUAUAUCAUAUUAAUGUUUGAAUUCAGGUAGAAGUACAGUUGUCACUUGAAGGGAGUAGAUGUGGAAGGGCGUUCGGGGAGGAGUGGGAAGUGGGGAAAGCCAGGCUAAAGAAUGAGGGUUAUAGCUUUAGCAAUGUUGAUGAGCCACAUUUCCCACACAGAUCUGUAGCAUUUGCUGUUGACCUCUUUUGAGAUGAACUCUCCCAUAGGCCCUGCCAGGCAGCACUGAGACAUGGAGGAAAUUCAGACAAAAAAUGGCUCACCCUGAGAGGGAAGGAGUGACUAUAUUUUAAAUUAAACUUGCUUUUUCCAACACUGUGAGGUUUCUGUAAUAUUUAGCUUUUAUUUGGAAGCGAUAGCGUAUGGCAUUUUUUAUGCUGUUUGGUUUAUAUUGUCUACUGCAGGCUUCUUUGUAUAAGCUUUGCCUGGGCUCACCCUCUCCUGGACACUGUUUUAAAGUGUCACCGCUGUCCAUGCUGCCAGAGGCUCUGAUGUGAAGCUGUACUCUCAAGAUCCACGUUUUUAAGUCGGCAUGAUUAGUAAUGACUUUUUGUGGCAAUAGAAAAGCCCAUUAACUCAAAAAAAACAAGGAGGGUAAAAAGGAAAGGAAACUAUGAAUCGUGCCUCAUCUUUCAUUGAAUCCUAUAUUUAUUAUUCUAGAAAAAGAGAACUUACAAGAUAGAGAAGAACUAAUAGAGCAUCUACUUUACCC